UACGUAGGUGACCAGCGUUGUCCGGAUUUACUGGGCGUAAAGAGCGCGCAGGCGGUCGUUCAAGUCGAGUGUGAAAGCCCCCGGCUCAACUGGGGAGGGUCAUUCGAUACUGAUCGACUUGAAGGCAGGAGAGGGAAGUGGAAUUCCCGGUGUAGUGGUGAAAUGCGUAGAUAUCGGGAGGAACACCAGUGGCGAAGGCGGGUCUCUGGACAGUUCCUGACGCUGAGGCACGAAGGUCAGGGGAGCAAACGGG
RNAcentral lists this ribosomal RNA (253 nucleotides) under uncultured bacterium. RNAcentral's name for it is "partial 16S ribosomal RNA". It matches the Rfam family "Bacterial small subunit ribosomal RNA", at positions 524 to 776 of the family's 1533-position model. The record is from RNAcentral.